This 725-nucleotide ribosomal RNA is filed under the name uncultured bacterium gp13. RNAcentral's name for it is "bacterial SSU rRNA". It matches the Rfam family "Bacterial small subunit ribosomal RNA", at positions 123 to 843 of the family's 1533-position model. The record is from RNAcentral.
AACCUGCCCUUGAGCGGGGGAUAACCCGGGGAAACUCGGGCUAAUACCGCAUGACAUUCCGACUUCACAAGGAGAUGGAAUCAAAGGCCCGCAAGGGUCACUCAAGGAGGGGGCUGCGGCCGAUUAGCUAGUUGGCGGGGUAAUGGCCCACCAAGGCGAUGAUCGGUAGCCGGCCUGAGAGGGCGCACGGCCACACUGGCACUGAAACACGGGCCAGACUCCUACGGGAGGCAGCAGCGGGGAAUUUUGCACAAUGCCCGAAAGGGUGAUGCAGCAACGCCGCGUGAGGGAUGAAGGCCUUCGGGUCGUAAACCUCUUUCGAUCGGGAAAAAUGGGCGGGUGAUGAGCCCGUUCUGAUGGUACCGGAAGAAGAAGCCCCGGCUAACUACGUGCCAGCAGCCGCGGUAAUACGUAGGGGGCGAGCGUUGUUCGGAAUUACUGGGCGUAAAGGGCGUGUAGGCGGUGCGAUAAGUUGGGCGUGAAAUCCCCGGGCUUAACCCGGGGCGGUCGUUCAAGACUGUCGUGCUAGAGUGCAGGAGAGGGAAGUGGAAUUCCCGGUGUAGCGGUGAAAUGCGUAGAUAUCGGGAGGAACACCUGCGGCGAAGGCGGCUUCCUGGACUGCAACUGACGCUGAGGCGCGAAAGCUAGGGGAGCAAACAGGAUUAGAUACCCUGGUAGUCCUAGCCCUAAACGAUGAAUACUGGGUGUGGCCUCGUACGGGGCUG